UUCCGUAGGGUGAACCUGCGGAAGGAUCAUUAACGAGUUAGGGUCUUUCAUCGGCCCGACCUCCCAACCCUUUGUUUACCGAACCUCUGUUGCUUCGGCGGACCCGUCUCCACGACCGCCGGAGGAUCGCCGCGAGGCGUCCUCUGGCCCGUGUCCGUCGACAGCCAACCACUUUAAAACUCUGAAUGAAUCGUGUCCUUGUAUCUAAGUCUUAUGAUUAAAAUCAAAAACAAAAACUUUCAACAACGGAUCUCUUGGUUCUGGCAUCGAUGAAGAACGCAGCGAAAUGCGAUAAGUAAUGCGAAUUGCAGAAUUCCAGUGAGUCAUCGAAUCUUUGAACGCACAUUGCGCCCUUUGGUAUUCCGAAGGGCAUGCCUGUUCGAGCGUCAUUAUCACCCCUCAAGCCCUCGGCUUGGUGUUGGACGGCUUGGUCGUGGAAAUCCCGACCCCUCCUAAAGACAAUGACGGCGGCCUGUGGCACCCCCGGUACACUGAGCUUUUUACUGAGCACGUAUCGGACAAGGGUGCCCGGGACACGGUCCUCUCCUUUCACUAGGAAACUUUUCUUAGGUUGACCUCGGAUCAGGUAGGAAUACGCGCUGAACUUAAGCAUAUCAAUAAGCCGGAGGAA
RNAcentral lists this ribosomal RNA (631 nucleotides) under fungal sp. shylm7. RNAcentral's name for it is "eukaryotic LSU rRNA". The stretch from base 235 to 389 matches the Rfam family "5.8S ribosomal RNA". The record is from RNAcentral. Lineage: Eukaryota; Fungi.